Mauremys reevesii (Reeves's turtle) is the source of this 174-nucleotide long non-coding RNA. RefSeq lists it as uncharacterized. The transcript has 3 exons. The record is from RefSeq and is a predicted model, not a curated record. Lineage: Eukaryota; Metazoa; Chordata; Testudines; Geoemydidae.
UCCCGUGAUCUCCAGAAUCCAUUUGUCCAAUGUGAAUUCCAAGUGUUGAUGUCUCCAAAAGGUGCUUCAACAGUAACCAGGCUCCAAAAUAGAGGGGCGGAGGGAAGGUCAGUGUGGCACUGUAGAGACAAGACAAUCAGAGAACAGGAGUUACACAAGACUAAGAUACGAGGG